CCCCGGGCUCAACCUGGGAACUGCGUUNUGAACUGGGUGACUAGAGUGUGUCAGAGGGAGGUAGAAUUCCACGUGUAGCAGUGAAAUGCGUAGAGAUGUGGAGGAAUACCGAUGGCGAAGGCAGCCUCCUGGGAUAACACUGACGUUCAUGCCCGAAAGCGUGGGUAGCAAACAGGAUUAGAUACCCUGGUAGUCCACGCCCUAAACGAUGUCGAUUAGCUGUUGGGCAGCAUGACUGCUUAGUAGCGAAGCUAACGCGUGAAAUCGACCGCCUGGGGAGUACGGUCGCAAGAUUAAAACUCAAAGGAAUUGACGGGGACCCGCACAAGCGGUGGAUGAUGUGGAUUAAUUCGAUGCAACGCGAAGAACCUUACCUGGUCUUGACAUGUACGGAACCCUCCAGAGACGGAGGGGUGCCUUCGGGAGCCGUAACACAGGUGCUGCAUGGCUGUCGUCAGCUCGUGUCGUGAGAUGUUGGGUUAAGUCCCGCAACGAGCGCAACCCUUGUCAUUAGUUGCCAUCAUUAGGUUGGGCACUCUAAUGAGACUGCCGGUGACAAGCCGGAGGAAGGUGGGGAUGACGUCAAGUCCUCAUGGCCCUUAUGACAGGGCUUCACACGUCAUACAAUGGUCGGUACAGAGGGUAGCCAAGCCGCGAGGUGGAGCCAAUCUCACAAAACCGAUCGUAGUCCGGAUUGCACUCUGCAACUCGAGUGCAUGAAGUCGGAAUCGCUAGUAAUCGCAGGUCAGCAUACUGCGGUGAAUACGUUCCCGGGUCUUGUACACACCGCCCGUCACACCAUGGGAGUGGGGGAUACCAGAAGUAG
Molecule: ribosomal RNA, 826 nt
Filed under: uncultured bacterium
Lineage: Bacteria
Description: bacterial SSU rRNA
Rfam family: Bacterial small subunit ribosomal RNA
Source: RNAcentral